AGACGCACAUCACCCCGUACAGCUUCAGAUUGUUGGGGGAGCAGCGUCAUCUCGUGGCGUCUCUGAACCAGACCAGGAACUGGACCGAGAGCCGGACUCGGACUCCACCAAACACUCAACCCCCU
Seriola dumerili (greater amberjack) is the source of this 125-nucleotide long non-coding RNA. RefSeq lists it as uncharacterized. NCBI's taxonomy places the organism in Eukaryota, Metazoa, Chordata, Actinopteri, Carangiformes, Carangidae. The record is from RefSeq and is a predicted model, not a curated record. The transcript has 3 exons.